This 251-nucleotide unclassified non-coding RNA is filed under the name Hevea brasiliensis (rubber tree). Lineage: Eukaryota; Viridiplantae; Streptophyta; Magnoliopsida; Malpighiales; Euphorbiaceae. The record is from RNAcentral.
AGAUGACAUACCUCCUAUGCAGGUAAUUUCAUUUGGGUUCCUCUUCCUUUCACUCUUGAUUAUAUUAGUUUUAAACUUCUCAUUUCUAAUGUCUUGCUAACUUGAUUGGCUAAUCUUUAAUCUGAGGGAGAGGAUUUUGUGCUAGAACUAUAUCUUGGAAUUCCUUUUAUAUACGUUAUUGUUGACAAGUCACAGCAGUUAUGAUAUAACAAAGGUUUCUUGAAUUUUGGGAGCAGGAACUCGCAUAUGAC